AGUGAACGCUGGCGGCGUGCUUAACACAUGCAAGUCGAACGAGAACGGAUUAUAGCUUGCUAUAAUUGUCAGCUAAGUGGCGCACGGGUGAGUAAUGUAUAGGUAAUAUGCCUCUUACUAAAGGAUAACAAAUGGAAACGUUUGCUAAUACCUUAUACUCCUUAUUAACAGAAGUUAAUAAGGUAAAGAUUUAUUGGUAAGAGAUUAGCCUGUAUUGUAUCACUUAGUUGGUGGGGUAAUGGCUUACCAAGACUAUGACACAUAACUGGUUUGAGAGGAUGAUCAGUCACACUGGAACUGAGACACGGUCCAGACUCCUACGGGAGGCAGCAGUGGGGAAUAUUGCACAAUGGACGAAAGUCUGAUGCAGCAACGCCGCGUGGAGGAUGACACAUUUCGGUGCGUAAACUCCCUUUAUAUGAGAAGAUAAUGACGGUAUUAUAUGAAUAAGCACCGGCUAACUCCGUGCCAGCCGCCGCAGUAA
RNAcentral lists this ribosomal RNA (484 nucleotides) under uncultured bacterium. RNAcentral's name for it is "partial 16S ribosomal RNA". It matches the Rfam family "Bacterial small subunit ribosomal RNA", at positions 29 to 523 of the family's 1533-position model. The record is from RNAcentral.